RNAcentral lists this ribosomal RNA (231 nucleotides) under Citrobacter sp. Cpo085. RNAcentral's name for it is "partial 23S ribosomal RNA". It matches the Rfam family "Bacterial large subunit ribosomal RNA", at positions 206 to 475 of the family's 2925-position model. Lineage: Bacteria; Pseudomonadati; Pseudomonadota; Gammaproteobacteria; Enterobacterales; Enterobacteriaceae. The record is from RNAcentral.
GUACCCCGAGGAAAAGAAAUCAACCGAGAUUCCCCCAGUAGCGGCGAGCGAACGGGGAGCAGCCCAGAGUCUGAAUCAGCUUGUGUGUUAGUGGAACGGUCUGGAAAGUCCGACGGUACAGGGUGAUAGUCCCGUACACCAAAAUGCACAGGUUGUGAACUCGAAGAGUAGGGCGGGACACGUGGUAUCCUGUCUGAAUAUGGGGGGACCAUCCUCCAAGGCUAAAUACUC